RNAcentral lists this ribosomal RNA (253 nucleotides) under uncultured bacterium. RNAcentral's name for it is "partial 16S ribosomal RNA". It matches the Rfam family "Bacterial small subunit ribosomal RNA", at positions 524 to 776 of the family's 1533-position model. The record is from RNAcentral.
UACGUAGGGUGCGAGCGUUGUCCGGAAUUAUUGGGCGUAAAGAGCUCGUAGGCGGUGUGUCGCGUCGGCCGUGAAAGACCGGGGCUCAACUCCGGUUCUGCAGUGGGUACGGGCAGACUAGAGUGCAGUAGGGGAGACUGGAAUUCCUGGUGUAGCGGUGAAAUGCGCAGAUAUCAGGAGGAACACCGAUGGCGAAGGCAGGUCUCUGGGCUGUAACUGACGCUGAGGAGCGAAAGCAUGGGGAGCGAACAGG